AGAGUUUGAUCCUGGCUCAGGAUAAACGCUGGCGGCGUGCCUAACACAUGCAAGUCGAACGCCCUUAGCAAUAAGGGAGUGGCGGACGGGUGAGUAACACGUGGGUCAUCUACCUCGGGUGAGGAAUACCGGCGAGAAAUCGCCGACAAUACCGCAUAUGCUCGCAAGAGCAAAGCCAGCAAUGGCGCCUGAGGAUGAGC
RNAcentral lists this ribosomal RNA (200 nucleotides) under uncultured bacterium. RNAcentral's name for it is "partial 16S ribosomal RNA". It matches the Rfam family "Bacterial small subunit ribosomal RNA", at positions 8 to 230 of the family's 1533-position model. The record is from RNAcentral.